AAUAAUAAUAAUAAUAAUAACAACAACAAUAGCUAUCAUUUAUAUAAAUAGUGCUUUAAGGUUUGCACAGUGCUGGAGGCCAGCACCUGGUAGUGGGCCCCUAACCCCGUGAGAUUACCACACCCCAAGCAGCUUGUUCCGGGACAAACCGUACCAUAACGUGUUCCUGUCAGGGCUAACCGCAAGAUGUCGCCACACCGCCCCUGGAAAGUCCCGGAGGCCCAUUUUCCCCUUUUGCCCCUCCCCGCUUUUGCCCUAUAUAAGCUUGUAACGCUCAAAAAUAAAAUUAGACCUUGCCUACCAUCCUUUUGGUCUCACUCCUCCUUUUCACCCAUUCCCUUCAGCCAGGGUCCUCCUCGACCCCCCACGUAUACUGGCCCUGCAGGUCGGGGCAAGUGGCGCCCAACGUGGGGCUCGAGGUUCGGACUUCUGCCAGGCGGACCAGCAUUGAGAAACGAUUCGUCGCGACCCCCUCCUUCUCAUCGCUCAUGAAGAGCCCCUGCGUUUUGAAAAUGACGAUCCUCGUAAUUUUCCUCCUGUUCCGUGGGAGCCACGGUGGUUUUCAAUCUCCUGACCCAGUAGCGCUCAGCCGUGCCCUCUUUGGAAGCCCUUGUGACUGCGGCGGGGGCACGUUCACUGUCCGUCCCGCCACCUACACGCAAGAAGUGGACUGCGGGGAAAAGACAGCCUACCUCGCCUACCGUCAUUCUAUCACGGGCGUCUCCAAACCCAAGUGGGAAUGCGUAAGGAAGCCCCGAGUUAUCCCUCCGAAUGGUGGCCAGCCCGGGCCUUGCCCCAGUGAUUGCAACUACCUUGAGGCCUUGCACUCCACAUGCUAUAGUUCUACCCAGCAGUGCAGUGGCAGCUCAGGAACAGUCUAUCUUACUACAAUACAGGAAAGAGAAUAUGGUGGCUCCACAGGAGGGGACUGGGCGCAUAUAACUAGCCAAGGCCUACGUGGAAGUACCAAUAAGUAUGCUCAGGCUUCCUGUCGUAAAGAAAAUAUUGGAAAAAAUGUCUGUUGGCCCCUUCAUGCACCUGUCCAUAUCUCUGAUGGGGGUGGCCCUACAGACCAAAUUAGGGAACAUGAGGUUAGGGAACGAAUAAAUGAAAUAAUUAAGAGUAUGUAUCCCCCCAUCCAUUACCAUCCACUUGCACUGCCCAAACCCCGGGGAACGGACCUAGAUGUCCAAACUUCAGAAAUCCUUGAAGCAACACUUAAGGCCCUUAAUUACUCUAACCCUGAUUUGGCUGCCGAUUGCUGGCUGUGUAUGGCCCUUGGCACACCUAUGCCCAUAGCUUUGAUGUCCAAAUGGCUCCACAUCCACAAAUUGCACACUUAGUCCACCUUUUAAGGUACAACCUGUUGGUCUCCGCCCCUCUCCUUGUAUCCAAGCCCCAUUUCAGAAUUCCACUGCUGAUAUUGAUGUUGGUUUUGCUACCUUUGCUAAUUGCUCUGAAGUCAAAAACUAUACCUCACAGGAACCUCUCUGUCCCCUGCCGGGACAACUUUUCGCCUGUGGGGGAAAUAUGGCCUACUCUGCUCUCCCCAGAAUUGGACAGGACUCUGCACACAAAUUUCAAUCCUCCCUGAUAUCGACAUCAUUCCGGGAGAUGAGCCUGUCCCACUGCCCAGUUUUGAUUAUAUUACUGGAAGACCCAAGAGGGCUGUUGCAUUUAUCCCCCUCCUUGUUGGCCUUGGGAUUACAGGGGCACUCGCUACCGGCUCUGCCGGCAUAGGAGUUGCUGUUGAUUCAUAUACAAAACUAUCCCAUCAAUUUCUUAAUGAUGUGCAAACCCUCUCGGGGACGAUAAAUGACCUUCAAGACCAAAUUGACUCCCUGGCGGGAGUCGUUCUUCAGAAUAGGAGGGGCCUAGAUUUACUCACGGCAGAACAAGGGGGAAUUUGCUUAGCCCUACAAGAAAAAUGUUGCUUCUAUGCAAAUAAAUCUGGGAUAGUGCGGGAUAAAAUCA
Long non-coding RNA from Phascolarctos cinereus (koala), 1974 nucleotides. The record is from Ensembl. NCBI's taxonomy places the organism in Eukaryota, Metazoa, Chordata, Mammalia, Diprotodontia, Phascolarctidae.